GUUACCCUAAAACUGAUGCUACUCCAGAAUUCCGAUGGAUAUGUCUGGACAUAGACAAAUGACAACUUUGAUUAGAAAAAUAACUUUUCAGAAAUUGUUCACUGGUUUUGCCAUGUACUUAAAUAGAGGCUCACGAUGUCUAAAAGAGUCGACAUGGUUUGGUGGAUAUUGGGCUUUGUUGCUUUCACAACUUCAGUUGGAGUGAAAGCCUAGACCCAGAAAUGUGCUUAAAAAUGGCUGACAAAUAAAUGCGGGAUGUUCUACUGC
Molecule: long non-coding RNA, 267 nt
Organism: Cebus imitator (Panamanian white-faced capuchin)
Lineage: Eukaryota; Metazoa; Chordata; Mammalia; Primates; Cebidae
Exons: 2
Source: RefSeq, a predicted model, not a curated record